This 520-nucleotide ribosomal RNA is filed under the name uncultured Glomus. RNAcentral describes it as "SSU rRNA". It matches the Rfam family "Eukaryotic small subunit ribosomal RNA", at positions 569 to 1090 of the family's 1831-position model. Lineage: Eukaryota; Fungi; Glomeromycota; Glomeromycetes; Glomerales; Glomeraceae. The record is from RNAcentral.
AGCAGCCGCGGUAAUUCCAGCUCCAAUAGCGUAUAUUAAAGUUGUUGCAGUUAAAAAGCUCGUAGUUGAAUUUCGGGAUCAAUAUGUUGGUCGUGCCUUGGUACGUACUGGCAUUAUUGGUUCCUACCUUCUGAAGAACCUCGAUGUCAUUAAUUUGGUGUCUUGGGGAAUCAGGACUGUUACUUUGAAAAAAUUAGAGUGUUUAAAGCAGGCUCGCGCUUGAAUACAUUAGCAUGGAAUAAUGAAAUAGGACGUUUGAUUCUAUUUUGUUGGUUUUUAGGAUCGACGUAAUGAUUAAUAGGGAUAGUUGGGGGCAUUAGUAUUCAAUUGUCAGAGGUGAAAUUCUUGGAUUUAUUGAAGACUAACUACUGCGAAAGCAUUUGCCAAGGAUGUUUUCAUUAAUCAAGAACGAAAGUUAGGGGGAUCGAAGACGAUCAGAUACCGUCGUAGUCUUAACCAUAAACUAUAGCCGACUAGGGAUCGGAUGAUGUUAAUUUUUAAUGACUCAUUCGGCGCCUUA